Long non-coding RNA from Pogonomyrmex barbatus (red harvester ant), 1242 nucleotides. The record is from RefSeq and is a predicted model, not a curated record. NCBI's taxonomy places the organism in Eukaryota, Metazoa, Arthropoda, Insecta, Hymenoptera, Formicidae.
AAUUAUCGUUCUUUCUUUUGCUUAUUAAAUUUCUACUUGCUUUAUGUAGACUUUUUACAGUCAGUUAUACUUUCGGUUAUAUCCAAUAUAUACCGGAGUGAGUAUGUUGAAUCGAGUAUGCAGAGAAGUAAGGUAUAUUGCACGGCGACGCUAUUAAUUGACGUAACUUACGCUUAUAAGAUAUCAUGAGUUUCAGGAUAUUAUGAAGUAGCAUGAUUUAAUGCCUGAAGUAGAGCACGAACGAGUUACCUCACGCUGUGCUCACCAUGCCGACGCAGGAAGCGGAGCGAACACGAAGAAAAGGGUGAUACAGAGUCAAACAAGAAGAAGAAAGAGGGGAGUGCGGGGGCGAAUGGUGCUAAAUGAGACCUGGUAACUGAUGUAUGUACGGUAUUCCAAAAUAACAGCGAAAGAAAGCAUUUGCAGAUCCGUGUUCAUAUGAAAGAUCCUCGUUCCUUUGGUAUGCAGAAAACGUGCACUCGAGGUUCCGCUGGACCCUUUUAAAGUCAACGCACAAUGUCGGAACAGAAACGGAACAGAACGACGGAAACUUUGAGUUACCUCGACAUUCUACCGUCAGAUUUCGUUGGAUUAUUUGAUGAAUUCAUCGCGAAAAGGGCUUGCGAAGCGAGGAUUCGACCGGUGUCGGUGAUGCGAGGGGGAAACCGUAAGAACGAGAGAGGCGGAGAAAUGUCAAUUUAUUCUGGCUUUGUUUACGAGCGAUACCUUGAGACACGAUGAGGGAGCGUCAACUGCAAUUGCGAAACAAGGGCACAAGGGGUGAACUCGAACAGCCGAGUGAGUCGGCGAGAUUCUGUUAAUCCGAGCAAAAGACCAGUCGACGACUCGGCUCUAAUCUUUUUGAUAGAGGGGGAAGGGGGAAGGGAGGAGACUCGGUUGGCUUUAAGUUACAUCGUGGAUGUCGGUAUGUCUCAAAGCGAGAGCGAGCCGAUGACAGAAUAUAUAUAAGAGUGGAUGGUUAAAGGUAUCUUCCACCUCUCGCAGAAACGGCGAUAAGAUGCGGGUAAACGAAGGUAAUGGUCUGGACUGGAGAAAGAGAGGUCGUCGUCGUGUCGUUCCUGUAUCGUCAACCGGGGCACAUCAGCCCGGGCGACAUUGUUGAUCGCCCUAAGCCGCGAGAGCUCUCGUAUUCGUAUAGAAAACGUGCGAAGAGCGAUAUAAUGUGACGCGCACGUUUGAAUUAGAACGUAUAAUAUUAAUUAUUUUCGUAAUUUUCAUUAA